RNAcentral lists this ribosomal RNA (253 nucleotides) under uncultured bacterium. RNAcentral's name for it is "partial 16S ribosomal RNA". It matches the Rfam family "Bacterial small subunit ribosomal RNA", at positions 524 to 776 of the family's 1533-position model. The record is from RNAcentral.
UACGUAGGGUGCGAGCGUUAAUCGGAAUUACUGGGCGUAAAGCGUGCGUAGGCGGUUCGUUAAGUCAGCUGUGAAAGCCCCGGGCUCAACCUGGGAACUGCGGUUGAAACUGGCGAACUAGAAUCUGGCAGAGGGGGGUGGAAUUCCACGUGUAGCAGUGAAAUGCGUAGAGAUGUGGAGGAACACCGAUGGCGAAGGCAGCCCCCUGGGCUGAGAUUGACGCUCAGGCACGAAAGCGUGGGGAGCAAGCAGG